This 253-nucleotide ribosomal RNA is filed under the name uncultured bacterium. RNAcentral's name for it is "partial 16S ribosomal RNA". It matches the Rfam family "Bacterial small subunit ribosomal RNA", at positions 524 to 776 of the family's 1533-position model. The record is from RNAcentral.
GACGGAAGGUGCAAGCGUUGCUCGGAAUCACUGGGCGUAAAGGGUGCGUAGGCGGCCGUGUAAGUCUGGCGUGAAAGCCCCGGGCUCAGCCCGGGAAGUGCGCUCGAAACUGCAGGGCUCGAGUGCCGGAGGGGAGAGUGGAAUUCCUGGUGUAGCGGUGAAAUGCGUAGAUAUCAGGAGGAAUACCGGUGGCGAAAGCGACUCUCUGGACGGUAACUGACGCUAAGGCACGAAAGCGUGGGGAGCAAACGGG